UGGAAGUAGUGAAAUUUUCUUGCGUGAA
RNAcentral lists this small RNA (28 nucleotides) under Bombyx mori (domestic silkworm). RNAcentral describes it as "ovarian small RNA-34476". The record is from RNAcentral. Lineage: Eukaryota; Metazoa; Arthropoda; Insecta; Lepidoptera; Bombycidae.